This 462-nucleotide long non-coding RNA is filed under the name Nicotiana benthamiana. Its description in RNAcentral is "long non-coding RNA (NBEN_LNC023648)". The record is from RNAcentral. Lineage: Eukaryota; Viridiplantae; Streptophyta; Magnoliopsida; Solanales; Solanaceae.
CAUGUUUCACUGAGGUUGUAAUUAUCUACCGCCCAUGAGAAAUCGAGUGUUUACAUCUCUCUUAGAUUAAAUGAAAUGCCGAUAUAUCAUAUCUAUUACCAGAAAUUUAUUUUCUGGCUUUGUCCAAUACGAAUAUUAACCAAAAGAACAAAUAAUAAGUACAAACAAAUUCAUAUACAUACAUGUCUAGGCCUAGAAAAGGAUAAACUUUCUGCACUUCUGGCCAAAACUCAGCCUUCAUUGCGUAAGCAACGUCAGCACCAUGUUCAUCAGACUGGAUUUGCAGCUAGAGUCGUACUGUGUCUAUUCAAGUGCACAAUUGGUGAAGCCCUGACAAUCGUUCUAGCUACUUCCAAAAAACUGUGACCAAAAUAGAGCAAAAAGAAGUUGUAAUAUAACUUAACAUAAACAUGACUUCAAUCGAUUAAGAAGUUUCAAACCUACACUUACGUGUAAGCGCAU